This 253-nucleotide ribosomal RNA is filed under the name uncultured bacterium. RNAcentral describes it as "partial 16S ribosomal RNA". It matches the Rfam family "Bacterial small subunit ribosomal RNA", at positions 524 to 776 of the family's 1533-position model. The record is from RNAcentral.
UACGUAGGGUGCAAGCGUUGUCCGGAAUUAUUGGGCGUAAAGAGCUCGUAGGCGGUCCGUCACGUCGGCUGUGAAAACCUGGGGCUCAACCCCGGGCCUGCAGCCGAUACGGGCGGACUAGAAUUCGGUAGGGGAGACUGGAAUACCUGGUGUAGCGGUGAAAUGCGCAGAUAUCAGGAGGAACACCAAUGGCGAAGGCAGCUCGCUGGGACGGUACUGACACUGAGACGCGAAAGCGUGGGGAGCAAACAGG